Molecule: long non-coding RNA, 1063 nt
Filed under: Lactuca sativa (garden lettuce)
Lineage: Eukaryota; Viridiplantae; Streptophyta; Magnoliopsida; Asterales; Asteraceae
Description: long non-coding RNA (LSAT_LNC008148)
Source: RNAcentral
AUGGUUCCAUUGGUGAAUUCCGAACCAUUAUCACUUCGGAUUCUUUUACCCGGAAGCGUGAUGAGGACUUCUAUUCCUUUGAUGAAAUUGAUGAGUUCAGAGGCCAUUUCAAACUUUAGCCUAAGGAAGAAGACCCAAGUGAACCUUGUAAAGUCAUCAAAACUCACAAGGAUGUAUUUCUUGUGAUGAAGACUCUCUACAUCUGAGGUUCCACAUAAAUUUGUGUGAAGAAGUUCCAAUGGUUCUGAGAUUGAGUUUUCAAUGACGACAGUAUGACCCUUCUUUGACAGCUUACCACACCCACAUGCAACAGAAAAGUGAUCAUUUUCGAACUUGAGGAGUGGUAAUCCUCUCACCAUUUCACCUGACAAAAGAUCAUUCAUGUAGCAAAAGUUCAGAUAAGCAAGCCUUCGGUGCCAUAACUAGUUGACGUCAGGAAUAACUUUGGAAAGAAGGCACAAUUGAGGUUUGCCAAUGAUCAUGUUGAUGUCAAGCGGGUACAUAUUCUUAUUUCGAUUUGACUUAAUCAAGAAUUAUUUUAUGUCUCCAGUCAUUACGUAGCUAUGUUUCUUGCAAAAUUCAACAUGCCGAUUUGAGUCAGUGAGUUGAGCUACACUUAUUAGGUUGUGCUUUAGGUUAGGCACGUAGGCCACAUUUGAGAUAGAGAAGUUUCCAUUGGUGAGGAUUCCAUAACCAUGAAUUUGAGAUUUGAAGUUGUUUCCAUAUAUCACGUAACCAACAGUUAGAGAAAGUUUGAGAUCUCGCAGAAAGUCUUUCUGCCCCGUCAUGUGUAUAUAGCAAGCACUAUCAAUAUACCAUAUUAUCUCUUGCUCUGAAGCACAAAGUGACAGCAAAAAUUAUUGAGAUGUGGAGUUUUUAGACUCCAAGUUAGGUUUUGGGACAAAGGCACGGGUCUUGGGUUUANAUCAAUAUACCAUAUUAUCUCUUGCUCUGAAGCACAAAGUGACAGCAAAAAUUAUUGAGAUGUGGAGUUUUUAGACUCCAAGUUAGGUUUUGGGGCAAAGGCACGGGUCUUGGGUUUUGGUAGUGACUUUUGAGCAAU